Non-coding RNA from Pelobates cultripes (western spadefoot toad), 548 nucleotides. The record is from the annotation of a GenBank genome assembly. NCBI's taxonomy places the organism in Eukaryota, Metazoa, Chordata, Amphibia, Anura, Pelobatidae.
GCCGUCCUUCCUCCCCAGCGGCAGUGUGUAUCCCAGGGAGCUGAAGGUGUCGUCCUUCCUCCCCAGCGGCAGUGUGUACCCCAGGGAGCAGAAGGUGCCAUCCUUCCUCCCCAGCGGCAGUGUGUGUCCCAGGGAGCAGAAGGUGCCGUCCUCCCUCCCCAGCGGCAGUGUGUAUCCCAGGGAGCUGAAGGUGUCGUCCUUCCUCCCCAGCGGCAGUGUGUACCCCAGGGAGCAGAAGGUGCCAUCCUUCCUCCCCAGUGGCAGUGUGUAUCCCAGGGAGCCAAAGGUGUCGUCCUUCCUCCCCAGUGGCAGUGUGUACCCCAGGGAGCUGAAGGUGCCGUCCUUCCUCCCCAGCGGCAGUGUGUACCCCAGGAAGCAGAGACCGUCUGUCUCGCACCCCAGCCGCAGGACAAAAUAUUGAAAGGGGAGACAGUUGGUCCCCCUCUCCACCAGCAAAGAGAGUGUCAGGGAGAGGAGCAGGUUACCCCCUCUCCCCAGCGGCAGUCUACAGUUCAGAGAGAGGAGCUUGUUACACCCUCUCUCCAGCG